GAAUUUUCUUUUUCUGGGUCUAGAUCCUUUAUUUUAGCAACUUCAUUCUCAAAUACAGUCUUGUAAGGGCAGUUGAAGUAUAAAAGAGGUCCAAGCUCCCUUUCAAAAGGUUCAUAUGUCACAGGAGGCACAGAUGCCAGAUCCUCUGGAGUAUAUUCAAUAUCAAAGCUUGGAUAUUUAAAUGUUUCACGUUCCAGAUCAGCAAUUCCAUCUUCAUCGCUUGAAAUCUGCUCAUAUCCAUCAUCUUCACCCUCUUCCUCCUCUUCACCAUCUUCUUCAUCUUCAUCUUCCUCCUCCUCUUCCUCAUCUUCAUCGGGAAUACUCUCUACUGUGUGCCCAUCAUCAUCGUCCUCC
This 354-nucleotide long non-coding RNA is filed under the name Gallus gallus (chicken). The record is from RNAcentral. Lineage: Eukaryota; Metazoa; Chordata; Aves; Galliformes; Phasianidae.